This is a non-coding RNA of Microcebus murinus (gray mouse lemur), 1891 nucleotides long. The record is from RefSeq and is a predicted model, not a curated record. Lineage: Eukaryota; Metazoa; Chordata; Mammalia; Primates; Cheirogaleidae.
CCUCAAGAAAUUUCCAGAGCAUCCCCUCGGUAAAUCCAGGAAAAUCUAUCUCUGCUUAAGCCUGGGGCAGCAGGAUCUGGUGCAGGCAGGAAGGUUGAGAAGGCUAGCAGGGUCCGUUACCUGGGUGCGUCUUUACUUGGCAGGUCACCCAGAUUUUAAAGCGAGGAAGAACCGUAUGGAAACACCAGAGAAGCUAUGUGAUCACCGCAGACUUUUCAGUCCUCGCCUUCAUUGUUUUCUCUAUGGGUUUCUAACGGUUCACACUCUUUUCGCUUUCACCUCAGUGUUGUUAAGUUUUGAAUAAGUAGCUUGAGACCUUCCUCACAGACUAUAGUAGAAAGCCCGUAUUCCACAGUCACUAAGAGCAGUGCUGGUGCCCUGCCUGGACACAGCAAGGUGCACACCUGUCUUCCUUCUUCCCCAAGUCACCCCUCAGUGGCUCACUCCACCCAGGGGAGACGACCAGGCAGGCACUGUGCCUAAUGCUUUCUGAGCAAUAUUUGGGUCAUUUAAUAAAGGCCCUUUGGGACCCAUCACCAUAACCCAAACAAAAAGUACUGCCUUGGAAUGGCGUUAUAGCACACACCUGGGCAAAAGGUUUCAGCGUGGCAAAAGUGAAGCAAGCACCGCCUUAGGGAACAGUGUUUCUGUCUCUUUAAAGGCAAACAGUUUCGUUACUGGCCCCACCCAACCCGAGCUUCCUGGCUCAGAGGCUUUUAUGGGGUGCAAACACUUUUGCCCGGCACUUCAUGCAACAGCAGCAGCUCACACAGCCUCCUUGGAGGAGACUUGGGACUCAUCCGCUGCUUCCACAGAAACGUUUACAUCUAUGGCCGUACCACCCUGAAUGCUCCUGAUCUUGAAAUUGAAGCAGGGUUGGGCCUGGUUAGUAUUUGGAAGGAAGAAAAAUUUUCCCUACUCCCACUUUACAAAAAAUUUAUCCAUGUUUAUCUUAUUAUUUAUAUGGGUUACUUUUCUACAUUUAAUUUCUGAUCUAUUUGGAAUUUGCAUGGUAUAAGGAAUUGGAUGCAAUUUUAUCCUUUUCUAUGUGGUUAUAUAGUUACCCGAAUGUUAUUUAUGAAAUUGUUCAUCUUUUCCCCCGUUGAUAUGAGAUGGUGUUUUAUGGAAUAUAAAUGUAACAUAAUAUAAUUGAAUUGAACAUAAAUGAAUAUUAGAUGAGCAAUGGUCUGUUCCUUAAUUUUAUGCUUCUGUUUCACAGUCUGUCUCUCUAUUCAUUCACCAACAUCCUACUUCUUUAAUUAUAGAGACUAUAAUGUUUCACUCUUGGUAGAGGUAGUCUUUUCUUGUUCUUCCUUUUCUUGAUUGUCCAGACUAACUUGCUUUUCUCUGCAUCCAAAUGGACUUUGUAAUCAGCAUUUUUAGUUCCAGAAAAAAAGAUGACAAAAGUUAAAAAAUUUGUAUUUGAAUAAAAUCAUAUUAAAGAAGUAUGUAUUAAUUUCUACUUUAUGAAAUGGCUUAAACAUGAAUCAGUGUUAAAUUUGGCCAAAUGUCCUUUCUGCAUCUAGGUAAUUUUCUUGUUAAUCUAUGUAUAUAUGAUAGCAAUUUUCUCAUAUUGACUUAACCCCCCUAGUAUUUCUGAAAUAAAUCACCCUAAAUCAUGGCGUAUCACUUAUUACUGUCUAAUAAUUUGGACAUUUAGGAUUUUUGCAUCAAUUUUGUAUCAAUUGAUGCAAAAAUUUAGGAUUUUUGCAUCAAUAUUCACAAAUGAGUUUGUGAGUCUGUAGUUUUUUAUUGGUGAAAUCUUUGCCAGUUUUUGGAAUCAAUAUUAUACUUGCAUAGAAAGAAUUUAAAGUUUUCCUUCUUUUUGUGUGGUUGGGAACAGUUUAAGAAGCAUUGAGAUGAUCAGAUAUUAAAAGGUUUUUUUUUUUUG